RNAcentral lists this long non-coding RNA (689 nucleotides) under Trifolium pratense (red clover). RNAcentral describes it as "long non-coding RNA (TPRA_LNC013806)". The record is from RNAcentral. Lineage: Eukaryota; Viridiplantae; Streptophyta; Magnoliopsida; Fabales; Fabaceae.
UUUAUUAUUAAUUUCUUCUUGAUUGUGUUCUUGCAGAUAUUGAAAUAGAAUCGUACACACACAGUUGGUAUUCCAAACCUUUGAUCAUUAAAACUGUAUGCUGCAACUUCUCACUCAUGCUUAUUUGUUCACAUUUUGAACUAUAUAAGAAAGUAACAAAUAACAGGGUUGAUGUCCAUAUCCAAAUUACAUAGUUAAUAACUUAAUAUCAUUUUAUUUGUUUUGUUGUAGAAAAUUUGUUCGGUUUAAUGGCUCCAGCAACAAGCGACAACAACAACACCAGCAGUAACAAAGACUAUGACGACACCCAAAGCGACAACAACGACAUAUUUGCAGACGAGAAAGCUGAAAAAGAUACUAUGUGGGCUACACAUGGUGGAAAGUUUGAGUGUAAUAAGUGUGACCCUCGCUUUGAAACAAAAGAGCAAAAGAAUGAGGAGCACAGUAGCAAAAAAUAAAGUUUCCACCUUUUUAGAUUAAACUUUGUGUGUGGUGUGCUUCUUGUUUAGGUGUGUCGGGGUGGUGUGGUGUGUUUCUUAGGUGUGUGGGUGUAUUGUGGUGUGGUGUGCUUCUUGUUUUAACAGUUUGAUAGUAAAAGUUUAAGUUCUAUUUGUGGGUAUGUGUGAUUGAAAUAAACAAUCUGGAUACAAAUUUUUCUUUUAGAAUUCUCUCAGAUUGUAUACUCAUCA